CAAUAGCGUAUAUUUAAGUUGUUGCAGUUAAAAAGCUCGUAGUUGGAUUUCUGCUGAUCGCUGUCGGUCUGCCGUCAGGUGUGUACUGGCAGUGUUUGGCAUCUAUUCGAGAUUGGGUGUCCACUUGAUUGUGUGCACUCGAUGUCGGAGCUAAUACUUUGAGAAAAUUAGAGUGUUCCACGCAGGCGCGUGCCUUGAAUACUGCAGCAUGGGAUAUUGGAAGGCCAAUUGAGCUUUCUUGUUGGUUCUCGGUUUGAUCGGAAUGAUUAAUAGGGAUAGUUGGGGGCAUUCGUAUUCAACUGUCAGAGGUGAAAUUCUUGGAUUUGUUGAAGACGGACUACUGCGAAAGCAUCUGCCAUGGAUGUUCUCAUUGA
This 374-nucleotide ribosomal RNA is filed under the name uncultured eukaryote. Its description in RNAcentral is "partial 18S ribosomal RNA". It matches the Rfam family "Eukaryotic small subunit ribosomal RNA", at positions 592 to 976 of the family's 1831-position model. The record is from RNAcentral.